UUGCAAAAUUUUCGUAGCUCGGAGUUCACGCUGCGAGAAUGAAUCUCAACACUGACAGCGAAGAAGAGUCACUUAUUUUUAUUACGCCAAAUAUCUCUUUUCAAGAACUGUAAUGUCGACGACAAUGGACAAGCGGAACGAGUAUAUUAUUACGAGAACGAUUCUAAGUGAAGAAGUUGAGAAGAGAAAGGACGAGAGGAUCCCGGAGAACACGAAAACGAACACGGUGUGGGCUGUUCGUACUUGGCAAGAGUGGGCAGAGGAGAGGAAUUAGAACCAGAGCUGUGUCAGGAUCGGAUAGUUUCGUAAGUUAGAUAGUAUCAAAGGUGUUCGAUUGUAGGGUUGAUGAAGAGUAAGAGAGGAUGUUUGUAUAGAUGAUAAAGUCAUAAAGAGCGAGGGCGAAAGUGGCAUUUAUAAUGAGCAAUUAAAUCAAUUCACUACCUGCA
Nematostella vectensis (starlet sea anemone) is the source of this 446-nucleotide long non-coding RNA. RefSeq lists it as uncharacterized. The transcript is spliced from 2 exons. The record is from RefSeq and is a predicted model, not a curated record. NCBI's taxonomy places the organism in Eukaryota, Metazoa, Cnidaria, Anthozoa, Actiniaria, Edwardsiidae.